AUUGAACGCUGGCGGCAGGCCUAACACAUGCCAGUCGAACGGUAACAGGAAGAAGCUUGCUUCUUUGCUGACGAGUGGCGGACGGGUGAGUAAUGUCUGGGAAACUGCCUGAUGGAGGGGGAUAACUACUGGAAACGGUAGCUAAUACCGCAUAACGUCGCAGACCAAAGGGGGGGGCCUUCGGGGCCCCUGGCAUUGGGUGGGGCCAGAUGGGAUUAGCUAGUAGGUGGGGUAACGGCUCACCUAGGCGACGAUCCCUAGCUGGUCUGAGAGGAUGACCAGCCACACUGGAACUGAGACACGGUCCAGACUCCUACGGGAGGCAGCAGUGGGGAAUAUUGCACAAUGGGCGCAAGCCUGAUGCAGCCAUGCCGCGUGUAUGAAGAAGGCCUUCGGGUUGUAAAGUACUUUCAGCGGGGAGGAAGGGAGUAAAGUUAAUACCUUUACUCAUUGACGUUACCCGCAGAAGAAGCACCGGCUAACUCCGUG
Molecule: ribosomal RNA, 489 nt
Filed under: uncultured bacterium
Lineage: Bacteria
Description: partial 16S ribosomal RNA
Rfam family: Bacterial small subunit ribosomal RNA
Source: RNAcentral